AUUGAACGCUGGCGGCAUGCUUUACACAUGCAAGUCGAACGGCAGCGCGGGCUUCGGCCUGGCGGCGAGUGGCGAACGGGUGAGUAAUGCAUCGGAACGUGCCCAGUAGUGGGGGAUAGCCCGGCGAAAGCCGGAUUAAUACCGCAUACGACCUGAGGGUGAAAGCGGGGGACCGAAAGGCCUCGCGCUUUUGGAGCGGCCGAUGUCGGAUUGGCUAGUUGGCGGGGUAAAGGCUUACCAAGGCGACGAUCCGUAGCUGGUCUGAGAGGACGACCAGCCACACUGGGACUGAGACACGGCCCAGACUCCUACGGGAGGCAGCAGUGGGGAAUGUUGGACAAUGGGGGCAACCCUGAUCCAGCCAUGCCGCGUGCGGGAAGAAGGCCUUCGGGUUGUAAACCGCUUUUGUUCGGGAAGAAAUCCUCUGGGCUAAUACCCCGGGGGGAUGACGGUACCGGAAGAAUAAGCACCGGCUAACUACGUG
RNAcentral lists this ribosomal RNA (484 nucleotides) under uncultured bacterium. RNAcentral's name for it is "partial 16S ribosomal RNA". It matches the Rfam family "Bacterial small subunit ribosomal RNA", at positions 28 to 507 of the family's 1533-position model. The record is from RNAcentral.